GUAGCGUGAAGGAUGACUGCCCUAUGGGUUGUAAACUUCUUUUAUACGGGAAUAAAGUGAGGCACGUGUGCCUUUUUGUAUGUACCGUAUGAAUAAGGAUCGGCUAACUCCGUGCCAGCAGCCGCGGUAAUACGGAGGAUCCGAGCGUUAUCCGGAUUUAUUGGGUUUAAAGGGAGCGUAGGCGGACGCUUAAGUCAGCUGUGAAAGUUUGCGGCUCAACCGUAAAAUUGCAGUUGAUACUGGGUGUCUUGAGUACAGUAGAGGCAGGCGGAAUUCGUGGUGUAGCGGUGAAAUGCUUAGAUAUCACGAAGAACUCCGAUUGCGAAGGCAGCUCGCUGGACUGUAACUGACGCUGAUGCUCGAAAGUGUGGGUAUCAAACAGGAUUAGAUACCCUGGUAGUCCACACAGUAAACGAUGAAUACUCGCUGUUUGCGAUAUACAGUAAGCGGCCAAGCGAAAGCGUUAAGUAUUCCACCUGGGGAGUACG
RNAcentral lists this ribosomal RNA (488 nucleotides) under uncultured bacterium. Its description in RNAcentral is "bacterial SSU rRNA". It matches the Rfam family "Bacterial small subunit ribosomal RNA", at positions 396 to 884 of the family's 1533-position model. The record is from RNAcentral.